AGCACCAAGAAAUUAUUUGCAAUGGCUGACUUGAUAGACGACGAUGAUAACGACUGGCUUGUAGCAGACCCAGAACCAUAUUUGUUUGAACCCGAAUACACAGAGGAGGAACUAGCUUUUAUGGAUCGUGAAAGGCAGGAAAGAUGAGUGAGACGGUGAACACGUGCGAACAGCAACUGGUGGAGAGCCUGUGCUGUCGAGAAUAGGAUCUAGUGUUGCCAUCGGUAGCGGGGGUCAUAGAUCUAGAAGACCCUGGCUGUGCCACAGAAAGCGGUGCGUUUGCAGCAACGAUUCACCCGGCCGUCGUUGACUUAUUUUUCCGACGUGACAAAGUUAAUUGGAAGAAACGACCCACACCGAGUGGACCUGAUGGGCAACUAUCCCCUGAUCAAACUCGGUUGUGUCCUACCGGAUCGUGCUUGAAUGGGCCCUACAAGGUGAAGUUUUGGGGAGAGAGCAUCGGAAACCACUACCAUCAUGUGUUGUUGUGGCCAUAAGACGAAAAUAUCCUUCUGAAUCAGGUGUUUAUAUUGGAUUCCAAGAAGUAAAUGAGGCAGUGGACAUAGGCCUAUUGUAAAUGGAACGAUGUGCUCGACGUCAGCUUAUAUUUCCCACUAUCUGUGGGACACACACUGCACCUUAUGUCAGUAGUAGGCUACCUGUUUGUAUUUUUUCCAUAUUACUAGCAUUAGGCCUACUGUCUCACCAUCACUUUAUUUUCAAUUUCCCCUUUUGUAUUACAUUGCACAUCAUUAGUCAGUCUGUACAUUACUCUCUGAAUCGAUAGGCUACACUGUAAAAACUGUUACUUGGAUCUAACUCAAUAAAAUUAAGACAACAUUUUCGGCAUCUCUGUAUCUUUGAUGUACAGUAUAUAAAUAAAUCUUUGAACCUA
This is a long non-coding RNA of Alosa sapidissima (American shad), 895 nucleotides long. RefSeq lists it as uncharacterized. The transcript is spliced from 2 exons. The record is from RefSeq and is a predicted model, not a curated record. Lineage: Eukaryota; Metazoa; Chordata; Actinopteri; Clupeiformes; Clupeidae.